RNAcentral lists this ribosomal RNA (253 nucleotides) under uncultured bacterium. RNAcentral describes it as "partial 16S ribosomal RNA". It matches the Rfam family "Bacterial small subunit ribosomal RNA", at positions 524 to 776 of the family's 1533-position model. The record is from RNAcentral.
UACGAAGGUGGCAAGCGUUGUUCGGAUUCACUGGGCGUACAGGGAGCGUAGGCGGUUAGGUAAGCCCUCCGUGAAAUCUCCGGGCCUAACCCGGAAAGUGCAGAGGGGACUGCUUGGCUAGAGGAUGGGAGAGGAGCGCGGAAUUCCCGGUGUAGCGGUGAAAUGCGUAGAGAUCGGGAGGAAGGCCGGUGGCGAAGGCGGCGCUCUGGAACAUUUCUGACGCUGAGGCUAGAAAGCGUGGGGAGCAAACAGG